GGGUUGUGAGGUUAAGCGACUAAGCGUACACGGUGGAUGCCCUGGCAGUCAGAGGCGAUGAAGGACGUGCUAAUCUGCGAAAAGCGCCGGCGAGGUGAUAUGAACCCUUGACCCGGCGAUGUCCGAAUGGGGAAACCCAGUGUGUUCCGACACACUAUCGUUAACUGAAUACAUAGGUUAACGAGGCGAACCGGGGGAACUGAAACAUCUAAGUACCCCGAGGAAAAGAAAUCAACCGAGAUUCCCCCAGUAGCGGCGAGCGAACGGGGAGCAGCCCGGAGUCUGAAUCAGCUUGUGUGUUAGUGGAACGGUCUGGAAAGUCCGACGGUACAGGGUGAUAGUCCCGUACACAAAAACACACUUGCUGUGAACUCGAAGAGUAGGGCGGGACACGUGGUAUCCUGUCUGAAUAUGGGGGGACCAUCCUCCAAGGCUAAAUACUCCUGACUGACCGAUAGUGAACCAGUACCGUGAGGGAAAGGCGAAAAGAACCCCGGCGAGGGGAGUGAAAAAGAACCUGAAACCGUGUACGUACAAGCAGUGGGAGCACCUUCGGGUGUGACUGCGUACCUUUUGUAUAAUGGGUCAGCGACUUAUAUUCUGUAGCAAGGUUAACCGUAUAGGGGAGCCGAAGGGAAACCGAGUCUUAACUGGGCGUUAAGUUGCAGGGUAUAGACCCGAAACCCGGUGAUCUAGCCAUGGGCAGGUUGAAGGUUGGGUAACACUAACUGGAGGACCGAACCGACUAAUGUUGAAAAAUUAGCGGAUGACCUGUGGCUGGGGGUGAAAGGCCAAUCAAACCGGGAGAUAGCUGGUUCUCCCCGAAAGCUAUUUAGGUAGCGCCUCGUGAACUCAUCUUCGGGGGUAGAGCACUGUUUCGGCUAGGGGGCCAUCCCGGCUUACCAACCCGAUGCAAACUACGAAUACCGAAGAAUGUUAUCACGGGAGACACACGGCGGGUGCUAACGUCCGUCGUGAAGAGGGAAACAACCCAGACCGCCAGCUAAGGUCCCAAAGUCAUGGUUAAGUGGGAAACGAUGUGGGAAGGCACAGACAGCCAGGAUGUUGGCUUAGAAGCAGCCAUCAUUUAAAGAAAGCGUAAUAGCUCACUGGUCGAGUCGGCCUGCGCGGAAGAUGUAACGGGGCUAAACCAUGCACCGAAGCUGCGGCAGCGACGCUUAUGCGUUGUUGGGUAGGGGAGCGUUCUGUAAGCCGUUGAAGGUGUGCUGUGAGGCAUGCUGGAGGUAUCAGAAGUGCGAAUGCUGACAUAAGUAACGAUAAAGCGGGUGAAAAGCCCGCUCGCCGGAAGACCAAGGGUUCCUGUCCAACGUUAAUCGGGGCAGGGUGAGUCGACCCCUAAGGCGAGGCCGAAAGGCGUAGUCGAUGGGAAACAGGUUAAUAUUCCUGUACUUGGUGUUACUGCGAAGGGGGGACGGAGAAGGCUAUGUCAGCCGGGCGACGGUUGUCCCGGUUUAAGCAUGUAGGCGGAGGUUCCAGGUAAAUCCGGUACCUUGUUAACGCUGAGGUGUGAUGACGAGGCACUACGGUGCUGAAGUGAUAAAUGCCCUGCUUCCAGGAAAAGCCUCUAAGCAUCAGGUAACACGAAAUCGUACCCCAAACCGACACAGGUGGUCAGGUAGAGAAUACCAAGGCGCUUGAGAGAACUCGGGUGAAGGAACUAGGCAAAAUGGUGCCGUAACUUCGGGAGAAGGCACGCUGAUAUGUAGGUGAAGUCCCUGCGGACGGAGCUGAAAUCAGUCGAAGAUACCAGCUGGCUGCAACUGUUUAUUAAAAACACAGCACUGUGCAAACACGAAAGUGGACGUAUACGGUGUGACGCCUGCCCGGUGCCGGAAGGUUAAUUGAUGGGGUUAGCGGCAACGCGAAGCUCUUGAUCGAAGCCCCGGUAAACGGCGGCCGUAACUAUAACGGUCCUAAGGUAGCGAAAUUCCUUGUCGGGUAAGUUCCGACCUGCACGAAUGGCGUAAUGAUGGCCAGGCUGUCUCCACCCGAGACUCAGUGAAAUUGAACUCGCUGUGAAGAUGCAGUGUACCCGCGGCAAGACGGAAAGACCCCGUGAACCUUUACUAUAGCUUGACACUGAACACUGGUCCUUGAUGUGUAGGAUAGGUGGGAGGCUUUGAAGCGUGGACGCCAGUCUGCGUGGAGCCGUCCUUGAAAUACCACCCUUUAAUGGCUGGUGUUCUAACGUAGACCCGUGAUCCGGGUUGCGGACAGUGUCUGGUGGGUAGUUUGACUGGGGCGGUCUCCUCCCAAAGAGUAACGGAGGAGCACGAAGGUUGGCUAAUCCUGGUCGGACAUCAGGAGGUUAGUGCAAUGGCAUAAGCCAGCUUGACUGCGAGCGUGACGGCGCGAGCAGGUGCGAAAGCAGGUCAUAGUGAUCCGGUGGUUCUGAAUGGAAGGGCCAUCGCUCAACGGAUAAAAGGUACUCCGGGGAUAACAGGCUGAUACCGCCCAAGAGUUCAUAUCGACGGCGGUGUUUGGCACCUCGAUGUCGGCUCAUCACAUCCUGGGGCUGAAGUAGGUCCCAAGGGUAUGGCUGUUCGCCAUUUAAAGUGGUACGCGAGCUGGGUUUAGAACGUCGUGAGACAGUUCGGUCCCUAUCUGCCGUGGGCGCUGGAGAAUUGAGGGGGGCUGCUCCUAGUACGAGAGGACCGGAGUGGACGCAUCACUGGUGUUCGGGUUGUCAUGCCAAUGGCACUGCCCGGUAGCUAAAUGCGGAAGAGAUAAGUGCUGAAAGCAUCUAAGCACGAAACUUGCCCCGAGAUGAGUUCUCCCUGAGACUUUAAGUCUCCUGAAGGAACGUUGAAGACGACGACGUUGAUAGGUCGGGUGUGUAAGCGCAGCGAUGCGUUGAGCUAACCGAUACUAAUGAACCGUGAGGCUUAACCUUACAACGCCGAAG
This 2926-nucleotide ribosomal RNA is filed under the name Enterobacter hormaechei subsp. xiangfangensis. RNAcentral's name for it is "bacterial LSU rRNA". It matches the Rfam family "Bacterial large subunit ribosomal RNA". The record is from RNAcentral. Lineage: Bacteria; Pseudomonadati; Pseudomonadota; Gammaproteobacteria; Enterobacterales; Enterobacteriaceae.